GCCGGCGUAGCUCAACUGGUAGAGCAUCCGCCUUGUAAGCGGGAGGUUGCGGGUUCAAGUCCUGCCGCCGGCACCA
RNAcentral lists this transfer RNA (76 nucleotides) under Alphaproteobacteria bacterium. Its description in RNAcentral is "tRNA-Thr". It matches the Rfam family "tRNA". From Rfam's summary of the family: Transfer RNA (tRNA) molecules are approximately 80 nucleotides in length. The record is from RNAcentral. RNAcentral also lists the same sequence under 3 other names. Lineage: Bacteria; Pseudomonadati; Pseudomonadota; Alphaproteobacteria.